GUCUACGGCCCUACCAUGUUGAACACACCAGUUCUCGUCCGAUCACUGAAGUUAAGCAACAUUGGGCCAAGUUAGUACUUGGAAGGGUGACCGCCUGGGAAACCUUGGUGUCGUAGGCC
RNAcentral lists this ribosomal RNA (119 nucleotides) under Aestuariibacter sp. Lineage: Bacteria; Pseudomonadati; Pseudomonadota; Gammaproteobacteria; Alteromonadales; Alteromonadaceae. RNAcentral also lists the same sequence under 1 other name. The record is from RNAcentral.